Cinclus cinclus is the source of this 2463-nucleotide non-coding RNA. Lineage: Eukaryota; Metazoa; Chordata; Aves; Passeriformes; Cinclidae. The record is from the annotation of a RefSeq genome assembly.
UUUGUUGUUGUUUAUUUUUUUUUUUUUCCCCCAGCCCAAAUCCGCGGUCCGGACGUUUUCCCCCUUUCUCCUUGCGGCGCCGUUUCGGCGUUUUCCGUCGGUUGCGUCGCCGUCGGUUUCCUUCCGUCUCCGGUCGGGUUUUCUUGGAGCGACCGCGAGAAUCGGAGCGCGGCCGGCGCCGUCGUUUCGACGUUCCCGGCUCUGCCGUGGUCGAGGCCUUCCGGAACGUUCCUGGCGGUUUCCAGGAUCGGGAUGGGAUUGGAAGAAGGAAAAUCCCGGCAACCGUUUUGGUGCCGAGCCGAAAACGCCCGCGGAGGGCGAAGCGUGCAGGUGUUCAACCCAGGUUCCUUCCCUCGCCCUCCCAUCGCCACCGUCGUCACCGUUCACCCGCCGGCACGCGAGGAUUUCCAAGGCCCUUACCGGAACUCCACCCUCCUGUGCCGAAUCCGCGGCCCCCGGCGCGGCCCCGGCUCCGCCCCAAUCCGGUGGCUCCGCAACGGCGCCGCCGUCCUCGACGGCGUCACCGCCGAGCCCUCGGCGCCGGAAAGUUCCGGGGCCUUCGUCACCGGCAGCCGGCUGGUGGUGACCGAGGCCGAGUGGGAGCGCGGCGACGUCUUCACGUGCCAGGCGGACGAGGAGAUGAAGAACACCAGCAAGGCCAUGGAGUGCGGAUAUGACCAACCCUUGACCGCCGGCGACAUCCGCGUCGAAACGGUGGCUCCGCUCUUCGCCGACAUCUUCCGAGACCAAGCGGCUCGGCUGACGUGCCGCGUGUCCAACCUGGCGGCCGGCGCCGAAGGCCUGGAGAUCACCUGGCUCAAAGAGGACGGUGAAGUUUUGGCCACCAAGAUGUCGUCGCCGUCCCUGCAGCCCAACGGGCUCCUGGCGGCCGAGGGCGUGGCCACGGUGAGCACGGAAUCCUGGGAAUCCGGCCAGGUGUUCACGUGCCGCGUGGCGCACCCGGAGCUGCUCUUCCCCAGGGAGGUCACCAUGAGGAAGACGACGCAUGGCCGAAAUUUGGGAUCGGGAUCCAAGAUGGUGGAAGGCCGGAUUUAUUCAAAUUUCUUAAUUUUUUUUUUUAUUAUUAUUAUCAUUAAUAUUCUUAAAAUUUUUAAAAUUCUUUUUUCCCCUUCCCACCCUCCAGCCUCGGACUCCUCCCCCCCCUCCCUCUACCUGCUGGCCCCGCCCCCCGAACAACUCCGCCAACGCACCUGGGCCACCCUCACCUGCCUGAUCCGCGACUUCAACCCCCCCGACCUCCUCGUCCAAUGGCUGCUCGACGGGAGGCCCCUCCCCCGCGGCCGCGCCGUCACCUUCCGGCCCCGCCCCGACGACGGCCACGCCCCUUCCGGCCACGCCCGCCACGUGACCGUCAGCACCUUGACGGUUCCGGCGAGCGAUUGGGAAGCCGGGAACGUUUUCACCUGCCUGGUCGGGCACGAGAGGAUCCCGCUGAGGCUGGCGCAGAAAUCCUUGGAUAAAUCUUCCGGUAAACCGGCGGCCGUCAACGUCUCCUUGGUGCUCGGGGAUUCCCUGGGAGCCUGCUACUGACGUCACCGCCUCCGUGUGACGUCACCGCGUCCCGUUGGCGUCGCCGCGUCCCGUUGACGUCUUCGCAUCGCGUUGACGUCAUCGUAUUCCACUGACGUCAUCGUAUCCCGUUGGCGUCAUCGUGUCUCGUUGACGUCAUCGCGUCCCGUUGGCGUCGUCGCGUCCCGUUGACGUCAUCGCGUCGCGUUGACGUCAUCGUAUUCCACUGACGUCAUCGUAUUCCACUGACGUUAUCGUAUCCUGUUGACGUCAUCGCGUCCCGUUGACGUCAUCGCGUCCCGUUGACGUCAUCGCGUCCCGUUGACGUCAUCGCGUCCCGUGGGCGCCAUCGCGCCCCGUUGGCGUCAUCGUAUUCCAUUGACGUCAUCGCGUCCCGUUGACGUCAUCGCGUCCCUUUGACGUCAUCGCGUCCCGUUGACGUCACGGCGUCCGACCCCCCCUCGAUAAGAAAGAAAAACCCAAAAAAAAAAAGACCCAAAAAACAAAACAAAACAAAAAAAAAACCGAAAAAAACCCCGAUUUUUUUGCACUUUUUCACCCCGAAAAAAAAAAAUAAUUUUAAUAAAGCGUUUCUCUUUUGUAGCAAAAAAAAAAAAAAAACUAAAAAUCCACGGGUUUUAUUUUUUUACACCCAAAAUGCACAUUUACCCCCCCCUCCCCAAAAAACACUCAAUUUUUUCCCAAAAAAUCCCCAUUUUUUUCCCCAAAAAAUUCCCCAUUUUUCCCCCAAAAAUGUCCCAUUUUCUCCCAAAUUUUCCCAAUUUUUCCCCCCAAAAUUCUCCUUUUUUUCCCCAGAAAUUUCCCAUUCUUUCCCCACAAAAUUUCCCAAUCUUUCCCCCAAAAUUUCCCAUUUUUCCCCCAAAAUUUCCCAAUUUUUCUCCAAAUUUUCCCAGUUUUUUCCUCCCCAAAAUU